This 74-nucleotide transfer RNA is filed under the name Candidatus Naiadarchaeum limnaeum. It matches the Rfam family "tRNA". Rfam says of the family: Transfer RNA (tRNA) molecules are approximately 80 nucleotides in length. The record is from Rfam by way of RNAcentral. Lineage: Archaea; Nanobdellati; Candidatus Undinarchaeota; Candidatus Undinarchaeia; Candidatus Naiadarchaeales; Candidatus Naiadarchaeaceae.
GGGCCUGUAGUUUAGCUUGGAUAGAACGCGAGCUUGCGGAGCUUGUGACGGGAGUUCAAAUCUUCCCAGGCCCG